GUACAACUCGAAGUGGUGGAUCACUCGGCUCGCGCGUCGAUGAAGAACGCAGCCAGCUGCGAGACUUGGUGUGAAUUGCAGGACACAUUGAGCACUGAUUCUUCGAACGCACAUUGCGGCCUCGGGUCCUUCCCGUGGCCUCGCCUGUCUGAGGGUCGGAAA
RNAcentral lists this ribosomal RNA (162 nucleotides) under Pandinus imperator (emperor scorpion). RNAcentral's name for it is "5.8S ribosomal RNA". It matches the Rfam family "5.8S ribosomal RNA". From Rfam's summary of the family: 5.8S ribosomal RNA (5.8S rRNA) is a component of the large subunit of the eukaryotic ribosome. It is transcribed by RNA polymerase I as part of the 45S precursor that also contains 18S and 28S rRNA. Functionally, it is thought that 5.8S rRNA may be involved in ribosome translocation. Lineage: Eukaryota; Metazoa; Arthropoda; Arachnida; Scorpiones; Scorpionidae. The record is from RNAcentral.